RNAcentral lists this long non-coding RNA (1350 nucleotides) under Monodelphis domestica (gray short-tailed opossum). Its description in RNAcentral is "lncRNA (ENSMODG00000050849.1)". The record is from RNAcentral. Lineage: Eukaryota; Metazoa; Chordata; Mammalia; Didelphimorphia; Didelphidae.
UGGAAAAGCACAUAGAAGUUGAUAUACUGUUGCAGCACAUUAAAAUAAGUUCACAUAGAAGUGAAAUAGUUUAAUCAGAAACAUAUUAUGGGGGUGGAAAAUGGACAUCUUGUCACACAGUGACAGGAAGAGAUAAGGGAUAAACUGCUGCAUUUUUCCUGUGAUAUCUAUUUAAAGUCAAGAGGUCUCCCAGAAGGACCCAGUCCUGGUGGAUGGAUACCGAGUGGCAGAGGUAUGGGAGGAUAUGAGCAACAGUUCACAGAGAGUCCUGCCAUGAAUGGAAAAUUGUAUUUAUCGUCCCACAAAGAAAUCUUCCACACCCUUUAUUCAGAAAGCCACCUGGGGGUAAAGUCAAUAUGGUGGCUUAGGAGCAGCAAAAGCCAAAACCUCUCUUACUAUCCACCCAUGCCAAUAGAGCUUCAAAAAGACUGAAAUUCAACCCCCCCAAAAAAAACAGAGCCACAGGACUCUCCUGCUGAACUCAACUUGAAAGGUAGGCAGAGAGAGUCAAUUUCUACAGUAUAAGGGAGAGAGUGGAUACUCCUCCCCCACCUACUAUGCUGAGACCUGUGAUCAGACACAUGUGGACUAUGGAAUUCACAGGCGGGGCUGCAACCCCAACAGAGCACCUCAGAUGCAUCAUGUGUUGUUCUUCAAGACUCUAACAGAGGCUGCUGGGGAGGAACAUAGCAAGGGGAGGAGGGGGUGGCAUCUGGUUAGGUGCCCUCAGUUUCCCCUACAGUGAAGAUUUGACCACAGAGUAGACAUGCCUGGCAGAUCAGCUCAACCAUUCUAAUUCAGAAUACCAGCAGAAGAGAGAGAAGACCAAAGACUCCCUCCAGGUCAGAGCAGCUCAAAUGCCCUGUUCCAGUAAACUAACAGAGGGAAUUUACAAUCUACAGGUGAGAAAAAAAUGAUUAAAAAAAAAGGAGGCAAUGACUGAAAUCUCCUACAAGGAUGAAGACCAAAGAAUAGAUCCAACAGAGGUCAAAGGAAUCCAAGAAACUUUAAGCAAAACCUCAGAAAAUCCAGGGAAUUGGUCUAAGGUUCAGGAAGUGAUCAAACAGGAAUUUAUAAGACAUAUUGAGAAAAAUUGGAAAAGAAAAGCAACAGCUUAAAAAGCAAAAUAAGUCAACUAGAAAGAGACACACAUGAAUCAAAAGAGUGUCUGAAAAGCCAGAAUUGACCAACUUGAAAAUUAGGCAAAAAGUCAAAAGAUAAAAAGAAUAAUUGGGAAAAAAAGAAUGGAGGAGUGGGAAAGAAAGAAAGAAAGAAGAAAGGUCAGUAUUAAAGAAGGAAGCCAAAAUGGAGGGGAAUAAACAGACAGUAAUUAUAACUAUUAAUAUAAAU